ACGUUUGCAGGCGCAUCAUCAUCAAGAUUCACAUUGAUUGGGUUUGACUUAUUACCAUAAUCGAUCUGAUUUCAGAUAUAUGAGAAUCUUGAUGAUGCUGCAUCGGCAAUAGA
RNAcentral lists this microRNA precursor (113 nucleotides) under Zostera marina. RNAcentral describes it as "mir-172 microRNA precursor family". It matches the Rfam family "mir-172 microRNA precursor family". Rfam says of the family: mir-172 has been experimentally verified in Arabidopsis thaliana. Lineage: Eukaryota; Viridiplantae; Streptophyta; Magnoliopsida; Alismatales; Zosteraceae. The record is from Rfam by way of RNAcentral.